UGGGGAAUAUUGCACAAUGGGCGCAAGCCUGAUGCAGCCAUGCCGCGUGUGUGAAGAAGGCCUUCGGGUUGUAAAGCAACUUUCAGCGAGGAGGAAGGUGGUGAACUUAAUACGUUCAUCAAUUGACGUUACUCGCAGAAGAAGCACCGGCUAACUCCGUGCCAGCAGCCGCGGUAAUACGGAGGGUGCAAGCGUUAAUCGGAAUUACUGGGCGUAAAGCGCACGCAGGCGGUUUGUUAAGUCAGAUGUGAAAUCCCCGGGCUCAACCUGGGAACUGCAUUUGAAACUGGCAAGCUAGAGUCUCGUAGAGGGGGGUAGAAUUCCAGGUGUAGCGGUGAAAUGCGUAGAGAUCUGGAGGAAUACCGGUGGCGAAGGCGGCCCCCUGGACGAAGACUGACGCUCAGGUGCGAAAGCGUGGGGAGCAAACAGAUUAGAGUACCCUGGUAGUCCACGCUGUAAACGAUGUCGAUUUUGGAGGUUGUGCCCUUGAGGCGUGCUUCCGGAGCUAACGCGUUAAAUCGACCGCCUGGGGAGUACGGCC
RNAcentral lists this ribosomal RNA (541 nucleotides) under uncultured bacterium. RNAcentral describes it as "partial 16S ribosomal RNA". It matches the Rfam family "Bacterial small subunit ribosomal RNA", at positions 355 to 887 of the family's 1533-position model. The record is from RNAcentral.